AGCCUUAUAUGUCCGUGCUGAGAUUUCGUCGGAAACCAAACCAUCAGUACUGUGAGGCUCUCCAGAUAAAUGGAGCA
Schistosoma mattheei is the source of this 77-nucleotide non-coding RNA. The record is from Rfam. NCBI's taxonomy places the organism in Eukaryota, Metazoa, Platyhelminthes, Trematoda, Strigeidida, Schistosomatidae.